ACAGUGAGAUUUAUCAUAAUGAUGAUGAUGUUACUGACUUCACUGCUGAUCACAAUCAUGCUCAGACUUCAAGGAUCAGAUGCUAGUUCAUCUGUGACUCAGUCUCCUGUGUUUAAAGCUGCUGCUUUGGGGGAAACGGUCUCUCUGAGCUGUACAGCCAGUGAAGGAGUUGAUGAUGAUCUCAGCUGGUAUCUACAGAAACCUGGACAGCCUCCCAAACUGCUGUUUUACCAAAUCAGCAGCCGUGAAUCUGAUACUCCGAGUCAUUUCAGCAGCAGUGGAUCUGAGCCUGAGUUCACUCUCACAAUCAAUGGAGUUCAGGCUGCAGAUGCAGGAGAUUACUACUGUAUGGGAGCAUAUACAGGCCCAGAGUUCACACAGUGAUACAGAGUCGUACAAAAACCUCCCUCAGUUACUAUUUGCAGUGUUGCAGCUGUGAGCUUCUGAUACAGACUCUGACAUGCAUCACUGGUUCACUGAGUCCACUUUCAGAAGUGGAAACUAAAAUAUGUAUUCAUUCCUGAUCACAUCAUUAAGAAGAUUUUAAAUUAAGUAACACUGUUUAGAAUCUGCAACAUGCUUAUCUCACUACAUUUUGUAUUACUUCUAAUUUGCUGUGGAUAAUAAGGUAAUAUGAAAAUAA
Haplochromis burtoni (Burton's mouthbrooder) is the source of this 643-nucleotide non-coding RNA. The record is from the annotation of a RefSeq genome assembly. NCBI's taxonomy places the organism in Eukaryota, Metazoa, Chordata, Actinopteri, Cichliformes, Cichlidae.